UUGGAUAGCGAGAAUUUCACCAAGGGAGCAUAUUGUUGUGACCUGUAUAAGCCAAAAACAGUCUUGAAAACGUAUGAUAUUCCAAUCUAUCUUUUUCCACAAAUAGAUGACUGGAUAAUUUCAGAUAUCAUACUUGCUGAAAUAGUACUGCGUUCAAAGUACAAAUGACUUCCUCGAAGACCUACAAAGAAAGAUCGUGAAAAAUCGGGAGGAAUAUAUUUGGAAAUAGAAAUAUCAACUCAUGUAGUGGUUGUUGGUCUAAGG
RNAcentral lists this long non-coding RNA (264 nucleotides) under Capsicum annuum. Its description in RNAcentral is "long non-coding RNA (CANN_LNC006398)". The record is from RNAcentral. Lineage: Eukaryota; Viridiplantae; Streptophyta; Magnoliopsida; Solanales; Solanaceae.